This 417-nucleotide ribosomal RNA is filed under the name uncultured bacterium. RNAcentral describes it as "bacterial SSU rRNA". It matches the Rfam family "Bacterial small subunit ribosomal RNA", at positions 29 to 444 of the family's 1533-position model. The record is from RNAcentral.
AACGAACGCUGGCGGCGUGGAUAAGACAUGCAAGUCGAACGGGAGUUUAUUUAUAGCAAUAUGAGUGAACUCUAGUGGCGAAAGGGUGCGUAACACGUAGCUACCUACCUCGAAGUUGGGGAUAGCUCGGCGAAAGCCGGAUUAAUACCGAAUGUGAUCGUAAGAUCAAAGCUGGGGAUCGUAAGACCUGGCGCUUUGAGAUGGGGCUGCGGCCUAUCAGCAGUUGGCGGGUAACGGCCCACCAAGGCUUAGACGGUAGCUGGUCUGAGAGGACGACCAGCCACACUGGAACUGAGACACGGUCCAGACACCUACGGGUGGCAGCAGUCGAGGAUUUUUCUCAAUGGGGGAAACCCUGAAGGAGCGACGCCGCGUGAGGGAUGAAGGUCUUCGGAUUGUAAACCUCUGUCAUCUGGG